Molecule: non-coding RNA, 38 nt
Filed under: Crypthecodinium cohnii
Lineage: Eukaryota; Dinophyceae; Gonyaulacales; Crypthecodiniaceae
Source: RNAcentral
GCCAGACAAUGGCAGUGCCAAAGGACACGCACAGUCAC